Molecule: long non-coding RNA, 8120 nt
Filed under: Triticum aestivum (bread wheat)
Lineage: Eukaryota; Viridiplantae; Streptophyta; Magnoliopsida; Poales; Poaceae
Description: long non-coding RNA (TAES_LNC005333)
Source: RNAcentral
UCGAGGGCUCGAAUACAAGAGCUCGAUCAUAGACGAGUCAGCGGAAGCAACAAUAUCUGAGUACAGACAUAAGGUUAACAAGUUUGCCUUAAGAAGGCUAGCACAAACUGGGAUACAGAUCGAAAGAGGCGCAGGCCUCCUGCCUGGGAUCCUCCUAAACUACUCCUGGUCGUCGUCAGCGGGCAGCACGUAGUAGUAGGCACCUCCGGUGUAGUAGGAGUCGUCAUCAACGGUGGCGUCUCGCUCCUGGACUCCAGCAUCUGGUUGCGAGAACCAGAAAGAAAGGAAAGGGGAAAAGGGGGGAAGAAAGCAACCGUGAGUACUCAUCCAAAGUACUCGCAAGCAAGGAGCUACACUACAUAUGCAUGGGUAUAUGUGUAAAGGGCCAUAUCAUUGGACUGAACUGCAGAAUGCCAGAAUAAGAGGGGGAUAACUAAUCCUAUCAAAGACUACGCUUCUGGCAGCCUCAGUCUUGCAGCAUGUAGAAGAGAGUAGAAUGAAGUCCUCCAAGUAGCAUCGCAUAGCAUAAACCUACCCGACAAUCCUCUCCUCAUUGCCCUGUUAGAGAGCGAUUACCGGGUUAUAUCUGGCACUUGGAAGGGUGUGUUUUAUUAAGUAUCCGGUUCUAGUUGUCAUAAGGUCAAGGUACAACUCCAAGUCAUCCUGUUACCGAAGAUCACGGCUAUUCGAAUAGAUUAACUUCCCUGCAGGGGUGCACCACAUAACCCAACACGCUCGAUCCCAUUUGGCCGGACACACUUUCCUGGGUCAUGCCCGGCCUCGUAAGAUCAACACGUCGCAGCCCUACCUAGGCACAACAGAGAGGUCAACACGCCGGUCUAAAUCCUAUGGCGCAGGGGUUUGGGCCCAUCGCCCUUUGCACACCUGCACGUUGCAAACACGGCCGGAAGCAGAACUAGCCCCCUUAAUACAAGAGCAGGCUUACGGUCCAAUCCGGCGCGCGCCACUCAGUCGCUGACAUCACGAAGGCUUCGGCUGAUACCACGACGUCGAGUGCCCAUAACUGUCCCCGCGUAGAUGGUUAGUGCGUAUAGGCCAGUAGCCAGACACAGAUCAAAUACCAAGAUCUCGUUAAACGUGUUAAGUAUCCGCGAACACCGACCAGGGCCAGGCCCACCUCUGCCCUAGGUGGUCACAACCUGGCCUGUCGCUUCGCCACAAAGAUCCACACAGAGGGCCGUUGGGACAAAGGUCCUUUCAGCCCCCCAAUCCGUGAAUCACUCGCGGGUGCUCCACAAGCCGACCCGACUUUAGUCACCACAUGUAUCAUGUAUAAAGUAUAUAGUAUAUACCCGUGAUCACCUCCCGAUUGAUCACGACCCGAUAAUAUAGCAUGGAAGACGGACAAGAAUGUAUGGCCACUGAUGAUAAUCUAGCAUCCUAUACUAAGCAUUAGGAUUGCAGGUAAAGGUAACAACAGUAGUAGCAAGGAUAGGCUAUGCAUCAGAAUAGGAUUAACGGAAAGCAGUAACAUGCUGCACUACUCUAAUGCAAGCAGUAGAGAAAAGAGUAGGCGAUAUCUGGUGAUCAAAGGGGGGGCUUGCCUGAUUGCUCUGGCAAGAGAGAGGGGUCGUCAACACCGUAGUCGAACUGGGGGUCGCCGGUAGUCUCAGGGUCUAUCGGAAAGAAGUAAUGGAGGGGGAACACAAUAAAUAACAGAGCAAUCAAAGCAUCACAAAGCGUAACAUGGCAAUACGUGGUGCUAGGUGUGCCCUAACGCGGCAGUAGGUGGUACCGGCGAAAGCGGGAAAACAUCCGAGAAAAUAUCUCCGGUGUUUCGCGUUUUCGGGCAAAGGGGCCGGAGGGGGAAAGUUACGAGUUUGAUAUGUUAGGAGUGUGUGGCGGACGAACGGGCCGCGUAUCCGGGUUCGUCCCGUCGUUCUGAGCAACUUUCAUGUACAAAGUUUUUCCAUCCGAGCUACGGUUUAUUUUAUAUUAAUUUUAAAAGAUUUAGAUUAAUUUUAGCAUUUAUUUAAUUAACUUAGUACAACAUUAUCCAAACAGUGCAUGCUGACGUCAGCAUGACGUCAGCAGUCAACAGAGGUGUUGACUGGGUCGCUGACGUGUGGGUCCCACUGGUCAUUGACAGACUAACUAACUAUCAGAUUAACUACAUUAAUUAGUUAAUUAGAUUAACUAACAGAGGUUAAUUAGGUUAAUUAUUUGUCCUAAUUAGUUAUUUAAUCGAUUAAUUAUUAUUAUUAUUUUAAAUUCUUUUUUUAUAUCCCUUUUUUUAAUGUUCCAGGGUGGUGGGGCCCGUGUGUAAGUGGCCCAGGGGGUUUUGCGAGCGCUGGGCAAAACAGGCAGCGGGCGCCUGGGCAUGGCCGAACCCGACAGAGCGCUGCGGGGCGUCGGGGGUCACGGCGCUGUCCAGGCGGCCAUCGCGGCGAGAGGCGGCGUAGGGACGCGGGGCGGCGGUGGUCGGCGGGCAGCUGCAUCGGGGUGAAGCGGCAGGGUGGAGCCGACGGUGAGAGGGGGCCAGCAGCGGGCGCGUCCGAACAAGGUGGGGCGCGGGCGCGGGCGCAGGCAGGGGGCACGGGCACGGCUAUGCCGGCCGGCGCGCGUGCGGGCGUCGGUGAGCGAGGCCAUGGCCGAAGUGGCCGGAGCAGGAGAGAAGGAGGAGAUGCCGGGGCCUCACCACGGGGCCGUGGGAUCUAGGCAGCGGUGCUCUGGGAGGUUGUUGGGGACGGCCGGCGCAGGGGAGGAGGCGACGACGUAGAGGACGCUGGGGAGGUAGUCUGGGCGGCGACGACGUUGAGCUGGCUCCAGGGACGGCGAGCGGCGGGCGGUGUCGAGGGCGCCGGUGACUUCAGGGCGGCCCCAGGCGGGCGUCGCACGAGGGAGAGGAGAGGCGAGGAGUCCGAGGGGGCGGCGCCGGUGCCGGCUCGUGGCAGCCUUAGCAGAGGCGCGGCUUGUGUCGGGUGUAGGCGUACGGGAGGGGAUCGAACAGGGCGCCCAUCCCCUGUCCGUUCGCCAGGGCGUGCGUGUGUUGUGGGUGACGGCGCGGGUGAGGUGAGNNNNNNNNNNNNNNNNNNNNNNNNNNNNNNNNNNNNNNNNNNNNNNNNNNNNNNNNNNNNNNNNNNNNNNNNNNNNNNNNNNNNNNNNNNNNNNNNNNNNNNNNNNNNNNNNNNNNNNNNNNNNNNNNNNNNNNNNNNNNNNNNNNNNNNNNNNNNNNNNNNNNNNNNNNNNNNNNNNNNNNNNNNNNNNNNNNNNNNNNNNNNNNNNNNNNNNNNNNNNNNNNNNNNNNNNNNNNNNNNNNNNNNNNNNNNNNNNNNNNNNNNNNNNNNNNNNNNNNNNNNNNNNNNNNNNNNNNNNNNNNNNNNNNNNNNNNCUUUUAACUUUGGUUUUUAAAUAUUUUAAUAUCAAAAUAGUUUUAUCAAGCUAUAAAACUCAUACCUAAAUUAGUAAGGUAGCAUAACUCACUGUAAUAAAAUGUUCACACAUUAUCUUAACUAGCUUACAAUUACCUAUAUACAUAAAAGCAAUUACUAAGUAUUUUCAAAUAUUGUUUUAAUUAUUUUAGUGCACAUAAAUAUUUUAUAAAAGUUUGGUUUCAUCACCUACCACUACAUAUGGAUUAAUCGACGCACUCCGAGCAUUUUAGUUUUAAUGUUUGAAAACUUCAUCAUUUGGGUUUGAUUUCGAAUUUGAAUUCGAUCAGGUUUGAAUUAACCCGAGAUUAACAACAGUGACCUCGGUGACGCGGCAUCAUUAGUAGAGGUUACUGUAGCAUGAUUACCCGGGCGUCACAAUUCUCCUCCACUACAAGAAAUCUCGUCCCGAGAUUAAAGAGGUAGUGAAAGGGAGGAAAGGUUUGGUUACGAAUCUAGCGGGUCUUGUCAUCCUGGCUUGCUCUUCUCGAAGAGGCCGGUCCAAUACAUUGAUGUCUUCAUUUCUCUGCUUCAGGUCACCAUGACGAAGUCGGCGUCCUUUCUUCAGGAACUCCAUCGUACUUAUGAAAGAAUAAAGGGUGGGCAUUCCGAGAGAACAGACCUCUGCAAGGUCGACUAUCUGGUCGAUAACAUCGAGGAAGGUGGCGGAACCGCAGAAGUAACUCUCGAAUUGAAACUUACGAAAAUAUCGAGAACAUAGUAAGGAGGUAUCAUGUGAAGUUUCAAGCGGCCAGACAAACGUUCGAUGCCUGAAACGGGGCGUGAACGGGGUUCAAAGCAACGGGAAUAAGUAUCGUGUCUGAUACAAGAAUUGAUGAGCUCUCCAAAGGUGGCUCGUGAUCUUUCAUACAAAGCCAAGCGUGAGGAAUGACUUUAGAAACAGGGGUGUACGGAAGAGUGAGGUUUCGAUCCUGUGGAACUGUGGGUUAUGGGCCCACCAUGUGGGAUAAAAGUAGGAGUGGUGACAUCUUGCAUGGUCACGAUAGAAGGCAUGUCAGAGACUAGCCUGUCAGUUAUGUCGGCAACAACAUCGAUACCAAGGGCGAGGGACGAAGAGAACCAUUUUCCUGCUCGUUGAACGAGGCGGAUCAAUAGGCAAAGUUCUCGUCCGUCGGUAGUUACCGGGAUGCUAUCAAUAAUGGUAACAGGGCCUUACUAACAGAGUUGUACAACGAGGUGCUUACUAAGCAAGGAAUUAUCACUGCUCGGUUAAGUCAGAUUACAAGAAAGAUUAAACAAGACAAUGGAAAGGAAAAUGCGAUUAUUAGGUUUAACCCGAACAAUGGAAAUGAAAAUGUGUAUACACACAUAUUUCGGGGGUAUAUCUUUCCCAAGGACAAGCGGAGCAUGAUAUCCAUGACAGGAUAGAAAGUAGAAAACCAUUAAGGUAAGGGGAAGGGAUUUCAUGAUAUUACCCAUACAACGGUGUUUGGAUAAUUGAGCAAGAAAACAUUUACCAUUGGGCUUCAAAUGUUCUUGUCGAAAAUUAGAGUACCACAGACAUGCUUCAAGAUAGCACUGCAUGGUCUUCAAGCAAAGGUCGGACUUGGAUACACAAUGGAUUCAUCAGGAACAACUUAUAGAAUAAGUCUGUCAAUUUCCUCAUGGAAGAAUGGAUAACCUUGCUACAAAGAAAACUAUAACAAUAGGUCCUCCGGCCAGGUGUGCUAGGCAUGACAUCACCUUACCGGUUCAUAUAAAGACCAACAUUAUAACUCUUGGAAAUAUGUUCCAACCAUCAUAUCUGACCGAGAUUCAGAUUUGAUUGGUGUCAGGAUACCUCAGACUCAGGAUGCCUGAGAAGAAAAGGUGCAACAUAAUUUGUCGAGAUGACAUUGUGAGAUUCUCAGAAAUGAUCUAUGGAAGUGAGCUCUGAAACAAGAGUUCAUCAGUAAACCAAGGUGAGGAUGAGGAGGUGGCUGAUAGGCUCAGCAACAAAUCAUCGAGAUUUCCAAAGGAUGGAUUUCCACAAUUAUGUGAACAAGGAAAUAUCAUUUGUCGGAUCAAAUGAUAUAAUGAUGUAUGCUCGAUGGAAACAUACACAACUGAACAAUGAUAGAAGGGUGCACCCAGGAAUCUGGACUAGGUAGCACGAUCAAUGUUCGAAUGAUGAUUCAAUAAGCAAUAGACUUAGAAUGAAACUGUAGACCAAUAACUUCAAAGCAAUAGGGUUGCUAGAAGUUUAGAAUUUACACAUCACAGACCAUUUGUCGGUAUUCCGGUUAGAAACAACACGGAGACCAAGAAAUGAAUGAAAAAGGCGAGAGAUAUUACUAUAUCAAGAAUUCUCAAGAGGUAGUAAAAUUACCACGACAUUCCAAGGUAAAGAAGAACAAAUGCUGGAUAGCAAGGAUCUCAAGGUAUAACACAAAACACGAACAAUUUGGUGUUGAAUGGAAGGCAAUAAAAUGAUCGAUGAUAAAACAAAUCGUCGAGGGCAAGGAUGGUAUUUCUCAUCAUGAAUUCAAUUGAUAUCCAGGAAGGAGUCAAGAUGUUGAUGACGAUCACGACAAAGAUAUAGCCAAACAUGCUAGGAAUGGCGUGACCGGGUACAAACUCGUACUUAAAGAAGAUUACUGAAGAGUUGUUGAACCGUAGUGCGAACUCGGUUCAGUUAUCGGUGUCUUUGAGUGUUUAAUGACUCAGAGCCUGUGAAAAAUUGGAAUCAGUGGGAAUGUAGCACUUGAUGAAGAACUCAUAAGAAGCUAUGCAGUUCCAUGAUAAUCUCGAGAUACUAGGGGAUAAUACUCGAUGACAGAUCGAAGUAAAGGUUGGACUGGGGUAUUGAUCCGUAGAAGACAAAUAUUUAAACUUGCCCGAGGAAUGGAAUCAAAGAAGAACAAUAUGGUCGGAACCAUAGCUGGAAGGGAUCCAAUUUAAUGACACCGGAAGUAUUACCCAAAUGAUUAAAUAUUUUGCAAGAAGCUUCCAUGAUAAGUUCCACAUCGGGUCCAUGGGCAUGAACACAACGUUCAAGGUCGACUCCCACUUCUUUAAUGCAUAACCUUUCAUUCACUUCUCUACUAAAAAUGAUUUAGUGCGAAGAUCUACCUGGUGAAUUACCAGAGGAGUAUGAACCUUGGAAAACUUUCGGGUUCACACAUAUUAAGGAAGGCAUAGGUUCAUCCUAUCGGGGCUUCUUAGAUACAUAUACCACAAACUUUAGGGGUAAACAACUCAAGCUCGGAAGCAGAGCAUGUUUGACCAAAGGAAAGGAUACAAAUUGCCAAAGGCAUUAUGUAUCAGGGAGGAUUCACAAAACAGUAAAAUAUGAAGGACACUGUCAAAUAAUAAUCCAACAAAGGAUCUAACGGUCCAUAUCAGAGCUGAUGUGAGCAUCAGCUCACAACCAGAGGAAGAAUCAAUGCAAAGACAUUGGUUUAUAGAAACAACUGAGUAGCUUAGAGCUCAAUUGCAAAGGAAUUAAGAUUUACAAAGCGAAGGAUCAGAAGCAGACGCUCUGAUCAAGGAUGGAUAAGUUCAAUAUACUUAGGGGCACAAUCGAUGACAAUUUGAUUGGCGAGAACCAGCUCACCUUUAAAAUGACGUCUGAGCCAAAAGGAUGAAUCCUAGGAUCUGACUGAGGAUUGCGAGCAUUCGCAACAUAUUGAAUCAACAGACUCGAAAGGAUAAUGAUAAGGGAUGCCAAUAAGAUUACGAGACUUAUGGGAUUAACCGUAAUGCAAGAUAGAAAGAAUUUCAAGAGCAGUAGGUUGCUUAGGAUUUUCGGAAGAUCAAAUGGUAUUUCGAAGACUGUUGUGAAAUGCAUGAAUCAACUAGGAAUGGACGGAUACUCGACAAGUGCGAGGAUUUAUCCAUAGGGGUAUUCACGUGACAAAGAACUGUAAGUCGGUAGGCACCAAGUUUUCUCAGAACAAUAGAGAGUAUUUCAGGGUAUCUGGUAAUAAGAUCUUCAGGGGAUGAUUGUAAGAAUUGAAAAAUGUACGUGGUCAUCCAUAGGGGUCUAUCGAGGGAAGGGGAUUGCAAAAGCGACGCCAUAAAGUCUCAUGAGAACAUCGGAGAGUAUGUUCGGAUUCUUCUGGUGCAGCAGACGAUCAUCUUUAAUAAGGGGCUCUCCGAGAGAAAGUAUUAUCGAGAACCUAGAGUCAGAGUUAGUAAAAUCGUUUAACCCGAGUAGAAGAGAUGUCAGAGUCCCAGAGUAUAGGUCGAGGAAUAAAAGAUCCUACUACCACCCAAUGGCGACGUGGGCCUGUAAGGCACACAGCCAUGUUAGUAAAAAAAUUGUAAUGUCUAGACUCGACUUCGGACAAGGAGUGUGGAAGGGGGAUUCCUACAGGCAGUCGGCUCUAAUACCAACUUGUGACGCCCCCGGUUUGACCGUACACUAAUCAUGCACGCAAAUGUGUACGAUCAAGAUAAAGGACUAACGGGAAGAUAUCACAACACAACUCUACAAAUAAAAUAAGCCAUACAAGCAUCAUAUUACAAGCCAGGGGCCUCGAGGGCUCGAAUACAAGAGCUCGAUCAUAGACGAGUCAGCAGAAGCAACAAUAUCUGAGUACAUACAUAAGUUAAACAAGUUUGCCUUAAGAAGGCUAGCACAAACUGGGAUACAGAUCAAAAGAGGCACAUGCCUCCUGCCUGGGAUCCUCCUAAACUACUCCUGGUCGUCGUCAGUGGGCAGCACGUAGUAGUAGGCACCUCCGGUGUAGUAGGAGUCGUCGUCAACGGUGGCGUCUGGCUCCU